Molecule: long non-coding RNA, 341 nt
Filed under: Solanum tuberosum (potato)
Lineage: Eukaryota; Viridiplantae; Streptophyta; Magnoliopsida; Solanales; Solanaceae
Description: long non-coding RNA (STUB_LNC004236)
Source: RNAcentral
UCCCCUUGAUUUGCUACUGCCAAGCAAUUUAGUAGGUAAUUACAUGAAUAAAUACUUGGUUCAAGCCCGAUUUUCUUAACAUGAUUAACAACGUCAAUAGCAUGAUCAAACAGUUUAUUUGCAAUAAAAAUCUUGAUGAGUUCAUCAGCUACAAGAGUUGAAGGUGUUGUAUUAUUACUUGAACGCAGAACAAGAUGCAUUACCUUCAAUAAGUCAACACCAGCAUUCUGCAAGUAGAAAAUCAUUUGUUUAAGAAGUGUGUACACUUCCAAAUCCAUUCCAGCAAAGGCAAAUGUAUGUAUCAUCAUUCUAUAGCCACUUAUUGAAUGAUACAAGCCAUA